UACCUGNCUUGNNUCCCUUUGACCGUCCUUAANCGGUUUUUUCCUUCNGGACNAAGAGACAGGUGGUGCAUGGUUGUCGUCAGCUCGUGUCGUGAGAUGUUGGGUUAAGUCCCGCAACGAGCGCAACCCUUAUCUUUAGUUGCCAUCUCUUUAUGGUGGGGUCUCUUGAGGGACUGGCGGGGAUUAAUCCGGAGAAGGGGGGGAUGACCUCAAAUCCUCUUGCCCCUUAUGAUCUGGGCUACACACGUGCUACAAUGGUGGGCACAAAGGGGAGCCAACCCGCGAGGGGGAUCAAACCCCAUAAAACCCAUCCCAGUUCGGAUUGGAGUCUGGCACUCCUCCACCUGAAGGUGGAAUCGCUAGUAAUCNCAAAUCAAAAUGNCGCGGUGAAUACGUUCCCGGGUCUUGCACACCCCC
RNAcentral lists this ribosomal RNA (417 nucleotides) under bacterium enrichment culture DGGE gel band B1. RNAcentral's name for it is "bacterial SSU rRNA". It matches the Rfam family "Bacterial small subunit ribosomal RNA", at positions 972 to 1392 of the family's 1533-position model. The record is from RNAcentral.